UACGGAGGGUGCGAGCGUUGUCCGGAAUCAUUGGGCGUAAAGGGCGCGUAGGCGGGAUGGCAAGUCGGUCGUGAAAUCCCUGGGCUCAACUCAGGGGGGUCGGGCCGAUACUGCCGUUCUUGAGGGAUGCAGAGGAGACUGGAAUUCCCGGUGUAGCGGUGAAAUGUGUAGAGAUCGGGAGGAACACCGGUGGCGAAGGCGGGUCUCUGGGCAUUCCCUGACGCUGAGGCGCGAAAGCGUGGGGAGCAAACGGG
This 254-nucleotide ribosomal RNA is filed under the name uncultured bacterium. Its description in RNAcentral is "partial 16S ribosomal RNA". It matches the Rfam family "Bacterial small subunit ribosomal RNA", at positions 524 to 776 of the family's 1533-position model. The record is from RNAcentral.